UCAAAAAUAGUUUAAAAAUUAAAAUUUUAAUUUUGGAGAUUAAAGAUAAAUUUAUUUUUUUUUGAA
This 66-nucleotide transfer RNA is filed under the name Encyrtus rhodococcusiae. RNAcentral describes it as "tRNA-Pro". Lineage: Eukaryota; Metazoa; Arthropoda; Insecta; Hymenoptera; Encyrtidae. The record is from RNAcentral.